RNAcentral lists this ribosomal RNA (405 nucleotides) under uncultured bacterium. RNAcentral describes it as "partial 16S ribosomal RNA". It matches the Rfam family "Bacterial small subunit ribosomal RNA", at positions 28 to 526 of the family's 1533-position model. The record is from RNAcentral.
GACGAACGCUGGCGGCGUGCUUAACACAUGCAAGUCGAGCGGAGCGGCGAACGGGUGAGUAACGCGUGAGUAACUGCCCCCCUCUCUGGGAUAACGGUUGGAAACGGCUGCUAAUACCGGAUAGUGGGGGAUGACUCGCGUCCUAUCAGCUUGUGGGUGGGGUAGUGGCCUACCAAGGCGACGACGGGUAGCCGGCCUGGGAGGGCGACCGGCCACAUUGGGCUGAGAGACGGCCAAAACGCAUACGGGAGGCAGGAGUGGGGAACAGUGCACAAUGGGGGAAACCCUGAUGGAGCACCGCCGCGUGCGGGAUGACGGCUUUCGGGUUGUAAACCGCUUUCAGCCAUUACGCGGUAGUGGCAGAAGAAGCACCGGCUAACUACGUGCCAGCAGCCGCGGUAAUAC